GAUGAACGCUGGCGGCGUGCCUAAUACAUGCAAGUCGAGCGAACGGACGAGAAGCUUGCUUCUCUGAUGUUAGCGGCGGACGGGUGAGUAACACGUGGAUAACCUACCUAUAAGACUGGGAUAACUUCGGGAAACCGGAGCUAAUACCGGAUAAUAUUUUGAACCGCAUGGUUCAAAAGUGAAAGACGGUCUUGCUGUCACUUAUAGAUGGAUCCGCGCUGCAUUAGCUAGUUGGUAAGGUAACGGCUUACCAAGGCAACGAUGCAUAGCCGACCUGAGAGGGGGAUUGGCCAACACGGAAAUGAGAAAAGGUCCAGACUCCUAAGGGAGGCAGCAGGAGGGAAACUUUCGGAAAGGGGGAAAGCCUGACGGAGCAACGGCGCGUGAGGGAUGAAGGGCUUCGGAUCGUAAAAACCUGUUAUUAGGGAAGAACAUAUGUGUAAGUAACUGUGCACAUCUUGACGGUACCUAAUCAGAAAGCCACGGCUAACUACGUG
Molecule: ribosomal RNA, 497 nt
Filed under: uncultured bacterium
Lineage: Bacteria
Description: partial 16S ribosomal RNA
Rfam family: Bacterial small subunit ribosomal RNA
Source: RNAcentral